Molecule: small RNA, 69 nt
Filed under: Epilithonimonas arachidiradicis
Lineage: Bacteria; Pseudomonadati; Bacteroidota; Flavobacteriia; Flavobacteriales; Weeksellaceae
Description: Chryseobacterium arachidiradicis Flavo-1 RNA
Rfam family: Flavo-1 RNA
Source: RNAcentral
GUGAUUGCAGCGGCAUCCUUUUUCUGGAUUGGCAAAAGCUUGGCAGAAAAAGAUAUAGCGGAAAGCACG